CCUUGCUUUGAAAUCCGUGCCUCACUUGUGAACCAGACUUUGAACCGGGUUUAAACUGUGAACCGGUUCCACCUACUCCAUGAAUUGGGUUUGAGUGAAUGGGUUUUGGUUAGGGUCUGAAUUUGAGUCAGGAGUUUGGGUUAGCCUGAUGUGAGUACAAUCUGGUUCGUCAAAAUUUGAUCUGAUCUGGUCUGAUCAGAUCUGGUUUGGGUUGGGCUAGGGAACUGUUUUUGGGCUGAGUUGGGCCUGAUUGGAUCUGUGGGCUGGGUUGGUUUGGGCCCGAGAUCUGAUCUGGACCUGUAAUCUGGUUUGGUUCAGUUGGGCCUAAUCUGUGUUGGGCCACAAUUGGUUUUGGGUUAAAGGAUUUUGAUUUUUGGGAUUUAGUCUAUUUAUUCUUGGAUCUUUGAACUUAGGAAUUUAAGGGAUUGGAAUUAGUUUAAAUUAUGUUUCUAAAUUAAUUAAAUAAUUAAUAUUUAUGUUUAAUCAGGGGUUCGUGAUAUCUGUGGCAGGGAUUCUUAAGCUAGCCCAGGUGAUGAUAUAUGAUUAUGGGGAUUACGGGACGGAGUGAUCAUGAUGUAGUUAGCUAGUGGAUAUAGACUUUCUCUUUUGACUUAUGUAUAUAUGGACAUUUGAUCUGAAAACUGGAAUUUAUUUUUAAUUA
This is a non-coding RNA of Phoenix dactylifera (date palm), 661 nucleotides long. NCBI's taxonomy places the organism in Eukaryota, Viridiplantae, Streptophyta, Magnoliopsida, Arecales, Arecaceae. The record is from RefSeq and is a predicted model, not a curated record.